This 102-nucleotide transfer RNA is filed under the name Hypoxylon sp. FL1150. RNAcentral describes it as "tRNA-Ser". It matches the Rfam family "tRNA". From Rfam's summary of the family: Transfer RNA (tRNA) molecules are approximately 80 nucleotides in length. Their secondary structure includes four short double-helical elements and three loops (D, anti-codon, and T loops). The record is from RNAcentral. Lineage: Eukaryota; Fungi; Ascomycota; Sordariomycetes; Xylariales; Hypoxylaceae.
GGCAUGUUGCCAGAGUGGUUAAUGGGUGAGACUUGAAUCUGACUAUCAUGAUUCAGCCAUCUCAUGACUUCGGUCGCGUAGGUUCAAAUCCUGCACAUGUCG